CCUCUCUCAGUACAGUGGUAAAGUAUGUCGGCUCGUCGCGCCGAUGACGCAAGUUCGAUUCUUGUAGAGAGAA
Molecule: non-coding RNA, 73 nt
Organism: Melanomma pulvis-pyrius CBS 109.77
Lineage: Eukaryota; Fungi; Ascomycota; Dothideomycetes; Pleosporales; Melanommataceae
Source: the annotation of a GenBank genome assembly